Arachis ipaensis is the source of this 256-nucleotide long non-coding RNA. RefSeq lists it as uncharacterized. The record is from RefSeq and is a predicted model, not a curated record. NCBI's taxonomy places the organism in Eukaryota, Viridiplantae, Streptophyta, Magnoliopsida, Fabales, Fabaceae.
GCUAAAGGAUGAGUAUUUAUCAAUAACAAUGUAAGCACAAUCCCUUCGAGUUCUAAUUCUAGAAUGUCAACUAACUACCUAUAUUCUAAAACCACGCAAUGUCCUUCAGAAAUAUAAGUUGAUAUGGAAAAGCCAUAGAGCCAAGGAUCACCCUCUAACAAGUAAAACAGCACUAAUAACAGGAAAUGAAGCAUUUUAAAUCACUAACACUCAACCAAUGCAUACAUAUGGCUAUUCAUGUCAUAAUAAUAUAAAA